GGACUACCCGGGUUUCUAAUCCCGUUUGCUCCCCACGCUUUCGUGCCUGAGUGUCAGGAACGAGCCAGUAGACUGCCUACGCCAUUGGUGUUCCUCCCAAUAUCUACGGAUUUCACUCCUACACUGGGAAUUCCAUCUACCUCUCUCGUCCUCUAGCUUAGCAGUUCAGACAAUGUGUAUACGGUUGAGCCGUACGCUUUCACUGUCUGCUUACUAUGCCACCUACGCAACUCUUUACGCCCAGUAAUUCCGGAUAACGCUUGGAUCCUCCGUAUUACCGCGGCGGCUGGCAC
This 293-nucleotide ribosomal RNA is filed under the name uncultured bacterium. Its description in RNAcentral is "partial 16S ribosomal RNA". The record is from RNAcentral.